Molecule: ribosomal RNA, 484 nt
Filed under: uncultured bacterium
Lineage: Bacteria
Description: partial 16S ribosomal RNA
Rfam family: Bacterial small subunit ribosomal RNA
Source: RNAcentral
AUUGAACGCUGGCGGCAGGCCUAACACAUGCAAGUCGAGCGGAUGAAGGGAGCUUGCUCCUGGAUUCAGCGGUGGACGGGUGAGUAAUGCCUAGGAAUCUGCCUGGUAGUGGGGGAUAACGUCCGGAAACGGGCGCUAAUACCGCAUACGUCCUGAGGGAGAAAGUGGGGGAUCUUCGGACCUCACGCUAUCAGAUGAGCCUAGGUCGGAUUAGCUAGUUGGUGGGGUAAAGGCCUACCAAGGCGACGAUCCGUAACUGGUCUGAGAGGAUGAUCAGUCACACUGGAACUGAGACACGGUCCAGACUCCUACGGGAGGCAGCAGUGGGGAAUAUUGGACAAAGGGCGAAAGCCUGAUCCAGCCAUGCCGCGUGUGUGAAGAAGGUCUUCGGAUUGUAAAGCACUUUAAGUUGGGAGGAAGGGCAGUAAGUUAAUACCUUGCUGUUUUGACGUUACCAACAGAAUAAGCACCGGCUAACUUCGUG